GUUCACACAGAAAGGGUGUGUGCCAAUAGUGGUGGGUUUGUUCGGAGCUUACUUUGACAGCUGGUUUUUUUUUUUUGGAUACGAGCCUGAAGUGAAAGACAAGUCGGUGUUCGAUGUGCCACCUGGCUGCUAGUUGAAAACAUACCCAGCAGAUGAGAUUUAGUCUACCUUGACCCAUAUUGUUUUCUGAAUCGUCUUAGUACCUACGAGUGAAGAGACAUUUCAACACUCUAAUUUGUAACUUGGCACAUUAAUUAAUUAAUGUGGAACAGCA
This is a long non-coding RNA of Gigantopelta aegis, 274 nucleotides long. RefSeq lists it as uncharacterized. The record is from RefSeq and is a predicted model, not a curated record. The transcript is spliced from 3 exons. NCBI's taxonomy places the organism in Eukaryota, Metazoa, Mollusca, Gastropoda, Neomphalida, Peltospiridae.